RNAcentral lists this ribosomal RNA (468 nucleotides) under uncultured bacterium. Its description in RNAcentral is "partial 16S ribosomal RNA". It matches the Rfam family "Bacterial small subunit ribosomal RNA", at positions 28 to 523 of the family's 1533-position model. The record is from RNAcentral.
GAUGAACGCUGGCGGCGUGCCUAACACAUGCAAGUCGAGCGAUUUACUUCGGUAAAGAGCGGCGGACGGGUGAGUAACGCGUGGGUAACCUGCCCUGUACACACGGAUAACAUACCGAAAGGUAUGCUAAUACGGGAUAAUAUGUUUUGAUCGCAUGAUCGAAAUAUCAAAGCUCCGGCGAUACAGGAUGGACCCGCGUCUGAUUAGCUAGUUGGUAAGGUAACGGCUUACCAAGGCGACGAUCAGUAGCCGACCUGAGAGGGUGAUCGGCCACAUCGGAACUGAGACACGGUCCAAACUCCUACGGGAGGCAGCAGUGGGGAAUAUUGCACAAUGGGCGAAAGCCUGAUGCAGCAACGCCGCGUGAGCGAUGAAGGCCUUCGGGUCGUAAAGCUCUGUCCUCAAGGAAGAUAAUGACGGUACUUGAGGAGGAAGCCCCGGCUAACUACGUGCCAGCCGCCGCAGUAA